RNAcentral lists this ribosomal RNA (253 nucleotides) under uncultured bacterium. RNAcentral describes it as "partial 16S ribosomal RNA". It matches the Rfam family "Bacterial small subunit ribosomal RNA", at positions 524 to 776 of the family's 1533-position model. The record is from RNAcentral.
UACGUAGGGGGCUAGCGUUGUCCGGAUUUAUUGGGCGUAAAGAGCGUGUAGGCGGCCAGGUAGGUCUGGUGUGAAAACUCGAGGCUUAACCUCGAGAUGUCAUCGGAAACCAUUUGGCUAGAGUCCGGAAGAGGAGAGUGGAAUUCCUGGUGUAGCGGUGAAAUGCGCAGAUAUCAGGAAGAACACCCGUGGCGAAGGCGGCUCUCUGGUACGUGACUGACGCUGAGACGCGAAAGCGUGGGGAGCGAACAGG